This 1405-nucleotide long non-coding RNA is filed under the name Bos indicus x Bos taurus (hybrid cattle). RNAcentral describes it as "lncRNA (ENSBIXG00005008702.1)". Lineage: Eukaryota; Metazoa; Chordata; Mammalia; Artiodactyla; Bovidae. The record is from RNAcentral.
CUCAAAGUGAAGAGUUUCCUGGCCAAUGCACCAAGUGUUGUACCCACACGUUCUGGGAAACAAACUCACUCAGAAGGACAAUGCAGAUAGUGGAGUGCAGUUUAUUACACCGGCAGGCCCAAGGCAGAGUCUCCUCUUAGCCAAGGACCCCGACCAGCACUUGUGAAAAUCUUUUAUACCCCAUGUGUACGUGUCUGAACCCACCACCCCAGAUUCCUUGAGACUUACAUAAACCAAGGAAAAUACAAUCCCAAUAAUCCCACCAUUCACGUGCUAUGUGCUCAUGUGCUCAAACAGUCAAACAAUUAGCCAAUAAUCAAUAAACCCGAGGUUACACUCAGAUGGAUACAGAAAAAUUUAUGGCCUGUCUGGAGGAAGGGGUGAUCAGUGUAUGUUUUCUCUUAGGUGAUGAGUAACCCAGAUACGAUCUUCAAGGCCUGGAGGGGGUCUUAUCCUUCUGUUGUUGUUUUCACAGGCACUAAACACAGAGUUCAGAGUCCAUUGGAAAGGUGGCUGAGCAUGAUCAGCAUGAAUAGGCCUAAGAUGGAGUCCAGGCCCUAUGAAUUCCUUCUUCAUUCCCCCCUCUUGAUGCUCUUAACUCAUAUUAUGAGCAUCAUUCAUAGGGAUAUAUUGCACCCUGGCUCUCCGACCGCCAAUUUGGGAGAAUGACAUCAACCUUCGGGUUACAAAGUUCAUUAUACAUUGUAAAAUUCAGGGUCCACAAAGCAAAACUAUCAAGGCAACUGUAACAGUGGUAAAUAUAGUUUUCCACCCAUUGCCCUUCACCCAAGAUAGGACCGAAGUCCAGAAAGGAAUGUUUUCAUUUGACAUUGCUUUUACCUGGUUUUUCAUGUCAUCUAAAGCAGUCGAUACGUUGCCAGAUAAGUCAGGAAUGUAUACACCACAUUCAACCUUAAUUAUAGCACUGGUCUCUCCUUGAGCAGCUGUGAGUAUGUCCAAAGCCAUUCUAUUAUGAAUUACCGCUUUUCUCAUUUGGAUUUGCUCUUCAUUUAAGGCUUGGAUGGCUUUUGUUCUAUCUAGGAGGGCCCGUUUUGUGAAAUUAGUCAAGGCCUCUACUUUAAUCAUGAUAUCUGUUGUCCCUAUAGAGGGUACGAAUAAGGCAGCAAUAUACGCAUACCAUUGAAACACGGAUCUUGUCCACCUAGCAUGUAAAUAAGGUAGAUUUACUGGGGCUUGUUGUAGGUUAGGCUUUUGUUACACUGGCAUUUAUAUCAAAUGUAACCCCAUGAGCCGAGUCUAUUGACUGUAGGUCUUACACCAAGAGAGCAAGGAGAGGUUAUGAUUGACAAGAGAGAGGAAAGUCUCUUUUCGUCAUCCCAGAAAAGAGCAGAGUGGUUUAAAAUCUUCUUGGCAGAGUGGUGACACCCACCAAGGAAGUCCAUCC